CCAAAGCAUGAAGUGAAGAGGAAAGGAAAGAACACAAACCCUAGGUGGGAAAAUUGAAGAAAAAGUGUGGGAUUUCAAGGGAUUAAGCUAAUAAAGGUAAAAUUUUGUGAUUUUAUCUUGUGAUUUACACUACCCAUGCUUUCUUUUUCAUUUUCCAUGCUUAGAACUCAAGUUUGCAUGAUGAACCCAUGCUGGCCGAAUUUGAGAGGAGAGGUUUUGAGCAUUGAUUUUGCUAGAUUUCAAGCUAAUUAAGUGUUUUUGGUUGUUUGGUAAUGGAAAGUAUGAAAAUCUAGCAAAGAAUCACUUUGUUCUUCACAAACCCACAAGAGGCCGAAUUUUCUAGGGAGGAUAUUAAGGCUGAAAUUGAUGAUAUUUCAUGAUAUUUUGGUGGUAUUUAAUGAUUGGUGAGGCUAGAAAUUUAAUGAGAAAUUUUGGCAUGAAAAUUUGAAUUUUUACCUAAUGUAUAGACAUGUGCGAUUUAUGGUUUGGACUGAUAAAUUGAAUCAUAUUCACAAUCAUUGAGGUAUUUUAAGUAUAAUUGGAGUGUAGAAAGUGAAAAAAAUUGAUUUGGAGUUAAAUUAGAGGUUUUAGCCAAUUACACCGAGAAUAGUGCGAAUUAGGUCGAAUACCGUAUUUAAACGGCUAUUCGGACAUUUUGCAUCACAUUUUGUGCAUUCAUAUAGAUUUAUAGAGCCUGAAAUAGUUUAUGAUAAAUUGACACAAUUUAUUGAAAUUCAUGUCAUGUAUGAUGUAUAGGUGGUGAGCCCUCUAACAAGGGUAAAGAGAUUGUGCCCGAAGACCAAGAAUAGGAGUAUAUCGAUCUCCUAGUACUGUGAGUAACCUUACUAUCGUCUUAAUUAUAUAAAGUAUGUUUUAUCCAAUUUUGUGAAUUUUAUGGAAAAUGAAUUAAAUGAUUAAUUUUUCUAUUUUAUAAACAAAAUAUGAUUUAGUGAAAUGAUUCCAUAAAAUUGUUUUAAAAUUGAAUAAUGGCUUUUCAAAUAGAGUAAUUGGAGACCAUUUGAUGUAUUGUGAAUUCAUGGUUCUAAUUGAUUGGCUUAUGACAAUAUUGGUAUGAAUGGCUGAAUUGGUAUUUGUAUUGAAAUGUAUAAACUAUUGUUUGCCUUGAUAGGCUGGAUAAUGAUAAAAUUGCCAUGUCAUGCUGUUGAAUUUUUAUUGUAUGGUGGGUUUAGCUUGCUGCAGUGAGCUAGUUCUGUGGACCAGCCUAUUAGAGGGGCACAAAACCUGGUCAUAUUCAUACCUCAAUUUGAGAGGCACGGAUGGAUAACUCCUGAGGUUAACACUUUAGAGUUCACUUCACGCCAAACCACCACGUGAGGGUGAACUAGGCCAAAGCCAAGGAACGGUUAUGUUUUCAAAAUAAAAACAUGAUUUAUGCGUACAUAACUUUUUAACAGCCUUGGUGGAUUCGGUUAGGGUUAGCCCUCGGCCAAGGUAUCCCUGAUGAUUGAGUAUGAUGAUGAUUUUGGCACGAGCCAAAGUUUUAAGAAAUUCAUAAGCCAUGUUAAUUACUCGAUUUUUAUGAAUUGAUUUUAUUUGGUUGAAACAAGUUGAAAGGUGAUGAAUUUCAGUAUGUUAAACUGUUUUAUCUAUCUCCAUUUACUCGACUUUAGAUGGUUUAGUUGGUAUCUGUUUACUCACUGAAAUUUUAUAAUCUCACCACCCUCCUUUUCAACCAUUUCAGGCCCAAGGUAGCCAGUGGAUAACAGAUAUCGUAAAGGAUUAUAGUUGGCUUUACUACUCCAAAAACUGUAGGUUUACUGCCUUUGUGCACUUUUGUUCCUUGUGGGCCCAUGAGUCACUGUAAAGUAAAUUUCAUACCCCGGUUAUUUGUAUUAUAGUACAUAUGAAUUUAUUUAGCUUUUACAUUACAAAAAAUUAUUUGCCGAUAACUCUAUAAAUAUUGUUUUACAAGAAAUUAGAAUAUUUUAUUGAAUAUUUUUAUUUUAUUCAAAUAGUUGCAAUAUCAUUUUUAAUAAAUUUUUU
Molecule: long non-coding RNA, 2004 nt
Filed under: Theobroma cacao (cacao)
Lineage: Eukaryota; Viridiplantae; Streptophyta; Magnoliopsida; Malvales; Malvaceae
Description: long non-coding RNA (TCAC_LNC001087)
Source: RNAcentral